RNAcentral lists this ribosomal RNA (490 nucleotides) under uncultured bacterium. RNAcentral's name for it is "bacterial SSU rRNA". It matches the Rfam family "Bacterial small subunit ribosomal RNA", at positions 28 to 507 of the family's 1533-position model. The record is from RNAcentral.
GACGAACGCUGGCGGCGCGCCUAACACAUGCAAGUCGAGCGAGAAGCGACCUUCGGGGACGUGGAAGCGGCGAACGGGUGAGUAUCACGUGGGUAAUCUGCCCUCGGUUCUGGGAUAGCCCGGGGAAACCCGGAUUAAUACCGGAUAGCCUCUCGAGCUCUCGAGCUCGCGAGAAAAGGUAGCUUCGGCCUCUGACCGAGGAUGAGCCCGCGGCGGAUUAGCUAGUUGGUGAGGUAACGGCUCACCAAAGCGACGAUCCGUAGCUGGUCUGAGAGGACGAUCAGCCACACUGGGACUGAGACACGGCCCAGACUCCUACGGGAGGCAGCAGUGGGGAAUCUUGCGCAAUGGGCGAAAGCCUGACGCAGCGACGCCGCGUACGGGAAGAAGGCCUUCGGGUUGUAAACCGUUUUCAGGAGGGACGAAGCCACUCGAGUUAAUAGCUCAGAGGGUGACGGUACCUCCAGAAGAAGCCCCGGCUAACUACGUG